ACUCACUAUGAUGGCAGUGUGACAGUCAGGCUUUUCAGUGUUCUCCACCAAGCCUGCCAUCUUCAGAUUAGAACGUUCCAAUCCAGGCACAAAUUUGAUGCAUUUACUGUUCAUCUUCCCCUUCUACACAGACGCUUUCAGUCUUACUCAGCUGGUGAGGCCCCCCUGCUUCAGACACUUCCUGCAUGACACAGACUCAAGGAGCUAAAGAAAGGAGGGUACUGCCAGCAGACAGAGCAAGGAAAAAUAACUUUGUGUUGAGCUCAAUGAAUUCAGUUCAGCUGGUACUGGAAGAGUGAGGUUUUUCUGUUUUUCCUCUCAACAUGCCAAGAAGGUCUUUGCAGUAAGGACUAGGCAAAAUAGCCUUGUUGGGGGAGGAAGAAGAUAUAAAAUGAAAUUAAUCUGAUCGUCUGUCAAAAUGUUUAAGUGAAGAAAAAUAUACGGAGGUCUGCCUGAAUCAUCAAAACAAUUGAUGGACUGGGUUUUCCUCCAUGACUAAGGAGUUACAGAUCAUGACUGCCAAGGAAGAAAUAGCCUAUUGUUCUUUGUUGAAAACUGGAAACAAAAAGGCAGUCUCUAUUUCCUGCUUAGAGCCUGCAUCCCUGGGACAAGGAUAAGUGGGAAGAACCUGCUAGCAAGCCCACAGACUGAGCACUGAACCAACCUUCUCCUUCUCUAAUCAAUGUCAUAACCACUUCAAGAAAAACAACUGGUCCUGUAGUUUUCCCAGUGUAAAAGAUUGUGUUCCCUGGAUCCACCCAGGAUCUAUGGCACCAGCCCUUCUCCUAUGAUGCGUUUUAUGUGUCAUGCACAGAGAGAUUUAAAUGUUCUCCAGAUGAUUCUGGGCAUGCCUCAGUCCCCAGGUCCUUCAGAGAAUCUUACCCUGGAAUCAAGAGGAGCAAUGAACUCUAUUAUAAAAUGUUGUGUCAAGAGUAGCUGUGUUGAUAUCCUCCUUCCUUUUUGCCCUCAGGAGAAGGGCAAAAAUUGCCCACCAUGAAGAUCAUUCAUGCUGGGGAUGAAUGACAUGGCUUUUGUAUUGUUUCAAAUAUUGUGCAGAUUGCAAAAUUCCCCAUGAUAGCCUGGGAAGGAGUCUGUCACUUCAGUUUUGCUCUGCAAUGAUAUCGACAGGGUUACUCUGUAAAACUGUAACAGAUCUGAAAUUAGAAAAAUGAGUACCUGAGUUCUCACCAGGCAAUAUAGGAGGGACCUCAACAUUUUCUUUUGGGGCAACUGUAAUGCCUUUGUUUUGCUCUGAGUUGGCUGCACUAGAAAAGAAAUGUUUUUGUGGUCAAAGACAACAAAAAGAACUUUCCUAUGAAAAAGUCUUAGGUUUGUCGUCUAGAAGUGGUUUGUCUGUGAAGUUAAGUUUUAUGGCCUGUUUUCAGUUUCUUGGAUCUAUAAUGACUUUAAGAUAUGUAUCAACCAGAAAUUGUAUCCCUUCUUGUGAAAAUUUUGUAUUUUUUCACCUUCUACCUAUGGCUGUGAUCUUGGACCAUUGAGCAAUCUACAGAACCUGAAUUCCUCGACUUCGCUUUUAAUUAUCCUUCCUGAUGAAACAGGAGCCCAUUAUUCAAUUAUCUCUCCCACACAUAGCCUUGAUUAUAGUCAUCUUUAUUUUAUGCAGCACCCUUCUUUCCCUUUAUAUGUCCUGGAUUCCUGUUCUGAAGAGCUUUAAUUCCACAACCAUAGCUACUUGAUUUUAGCAGGUUUUUCACUGGCGUUUCAAAUUAUUUGGUUAAUAAGUGACAACUAUGUAAAGCCUGAAGACCAAUUUCCAUCAUAUAAUGCUGUGCAAUUUAAUGUAGGAGUAGUUAUGAUAAAACACUGCAUCGUACAGCAAGUAACACUGCUUUGUCCCAAAAGAGACAUAGUCCAGAGGCCUGGGUGACAAACCAGACCUCCUACACUCUAGAUAAUGCAUCUUACACAACCAUGUAUAAAAAUUAUGUUGGUUAGGAAUAAACCAAUACUCCUCGAUUGUGUCCCAGUUAGAGUGAGUGAUAUUUUGUUGAGGGUACAGUUCCAAACAUCCUCAGUUAUUGUGUACAGCAUACUCCUGCCUGAUCCCAAAUUCCUGCAUAUCUUAAUGCAAUCAGGAAAUGAUGGAUUAGCACUUCGAUGUUAUGCCAGUCUGAUUAAUUGUGAGGUAAUAUUGUUCCCAAAUUGCCCAUUUGUUCGGAAAACAACUUUAGUCACUGUGUUACCAAGGAAGACAUUGAUUUUCUUCCAUUUUUUAAUUCAAGUUAAAAGUUAAGAGGAGUCCUGGGGAAUUGGUUUUGCCCAAGUUGAUGUAUUGGGUCUGGCUGGGCAGGAGAUAACUUUCUUCAUAUCAGCCUCUAUAGUUCUGCAUUUAGAAUUUGUGGCUAAAACGGUGUUGAUAACCCACCAGUGUUUUGGCUAUGGCUAACCAGUGUUUGCACAGUGUCACUGCUUGCGUUCUCCUGCUCCACCAAGGAGUAGGCUGAUGCUUGGGAAGGGACACAGCAGGACAGCCAACCGGAAUUGACCAAAGGGAUAACCUUGACCAUGUAAACUACAUGUUCAGCAAUAAAAGCUGGGUAAAGCAAGAA
Molecule: long non-coding RNA, 2570 nt
Organism: Haemorhous mexicanus (house finch)
Lineage: Eukaryota; Metazoa; Chordata; Aves; Passeriformes; Fringillidae
Exons: 4
Source: RefSeq, a predicted model, not a curated record